Molecule: ribosomal RNA, 253 nt
Filed under: uncultured bacterium
Lineage: Bacteria
Description: partial 16S ribosomal RNA
Rfam family: Bacterial small subunit ribosomal RNA
Source: RNAcentral
UACGAAGGGGGCUAGCGUUGCUCGGAAUGACUGGGCGUAAAGGGCGCGUAGGCGGCGCGACAAGUCACUUGUGAAAUCUCCGGGCUUAACCCGGAGCGGCCAAGUGAUACUGUAGUGCUAGAGUGCGGAAGGGGCUACUGGAAUUCUCGGUGUAGUGGUGAAAUGCGUAGAUAUCGAGAGGAACACCUGCGGCGAAGGCGGGUAGCUGGGCCGACACUGACGCUGAGGCGCGAAAGCCAGGGGAGCGAACGGG